UACGUAGGGGCCGAGCGUUGUCCGGAGUUAUUGGGCGUAAAGCGCGCGCAGGCGGCCUCGCGCGCCCGACGUGAAAGCCCCCGGCUUAACCGGGGAGGGUCGUUGGGGACGGCGGGGCUUGAGGGCGGGAGAGGGUGGUGGAAUUCCCGGUGUAGUGGUGAAAUGCGUAGAGAUCGGGAGGAACACCCGUGGCGAAGGCGGCCACUUGGGCCGACCCUGACGCUGAGGCGCGAAGGCGUGGGGAGCGAACGGG
This 253-nucleotide ribosomal RNA is filed under the name uncultured bacterium. RNAcentral describes it as "partial 16S ribosomal RNA". It matches the Rfam family "Bacterial small subunit ribosomal RNA", at positions 524 to 776 of the family's 1533-position model. The record is from RNAcentral.